This 394-nucleotide ribosomal RNA is filed under the name uncultured bacterium. Its description in RNAcentral is "bacterial SSU rRNA". It matches the Rfam family "Bacterial small subunit ribosomal RNA", at positions 32 to 419 of the family's 1533-position model. The record is from RNAcentral.
AAUCAACGCUGGCGGCGUGCCUCAGACAUGCAAGUCGAACGAUUAAACUUUCCUUCGGGAAAGAUAUAAAGUGGCGCACGGGUGAGUAACACGUAGGUAAUGUACCUUUGGGUGGGAGUAACCAUCGGAACGAUGGCUAAUACCGCAUAAUGCAGCGGCAUCGCAAGAUGACAGUUGUUAAAGAUUUAUCGCCUAAAGAGCAGCCUGCGGCAGAUUAGGUUAGNGGUUAAGGUAAUGGCUUACCAAGCCUGCGAUCUGUAACCGACCUGAGAGGGUGGUCGGUCACACUGACACUGAAUAACGGGUCAGACUCCUACGGGAGGCAGCAGUCGGGAAUUUUGGGCAAUGGGCGAAAGCCUGACCCAGCAACGCCGCGUGAAGGACGAAGUCUUUC